CAUCUUAAUUGACUAAACACUCCAAUAAUAAGUUUAAACUACGAGUAACGACACACCCACAAAAAUUGAAACAAGAUCUAAAGACGCGUAACAAAAUACAGUGACCUUAUUAGUCUAGGAAUGGGUGUGUCAUGACGUAUGUUUACGAGCUACAACACUGAUGGCGCCGCAGAAUGCCUGUUGCGUAUUAUUUAAAACACCAAGGUCACUUGACUGCCGCCUCACGACAUGACCACCAAUGAACAUUCAACCAUAACACCUUACAUUUAAAGAUACAAAAUUGAUUAUCUAAAAAAAUGCGAAAAUUUACACGCGCACGCGAAUUAUCGCUCAGAUGGCCUUCUAGAUUUUAAGUAAUGCGCAUAAAUGUCAUAGGUACUUAUGUAUAUUAUAAUGAUUGUUAGGUACAUAUUUCGUCAUCAAUUACUUAAUCAAAACAUGUUUUUGAAAAAUAACUAUCGACAUGUGAAUUUGGCCUGCGGCCGCAUCUAGAUGUUAGUUAUUGUUAAAUCGGAAGAAAACCCAAGAAUGUUAUUUUGAUUUCUAAACCUAAGUGACUGGACAAUAGAAAGAAAGAAAUUUCUGCCCUAGGAGCAUGCACUGUUGUGUUUUGGUUUGAAGGACAUUGUAGCCAGUGCAAUUUCUGGACAUGACGACACUUAGGCCCACAUCCCUAACAUUACUUAGCUAAGUACGGAGCAAUGAUAUUAUUAGACUGCUUCUUAGUGUUUUCAGCGGGACAGCCCCAUAAUCAAUGCUGAAUAAAACCAAAGAAAACUUUGAAAUUGCCGCCACUAUUGGUUCGGGUGCACUAGGCGUGCUCAUAGUAUUGUGAAUAUGGAUAAUAACAUUCGAUGCUUCGGUGUAGAGAAAAAUGGAAAAAACCGGAUUUUUUUUAUCUUUGACCUUGAAUAAAAUUUUUGGCACCCAUAGGAUCAAUGAGGACUUUUGACAUUUUAUGGAUAAUGACGUAUUUAACGUCGAUACCAAUUUUCACCUCUAUGAGAAUUUUUCCUUACAGGUUUUUUGUCUAUUUUGACUGGUCUAAUAUGUAACCCAUUAAAUUACCAUUUUUAUGAA
RNAcentral lists this long non-coding RNA (1080 nucleotides) under Manduca sexta (tobacco hornworm). RNAcentral describes it as "uncharacterized LOC115444957, transcript variant X2". The record is from RNAcentral. Lineage: Eukaryota; Metazoa; Arthropoda; Insecta; Lepidoptera; Sphingidae.